Molecule: ribosomal RNA, 420 nt
Filed under: uncultured bacterium
Lineage: Bacteria
Description: bacterial SSU rRNA
Rfam family: Bacterial small subunit ribosomal RNA
Source: RNAcentral
CUUACCAGGUCUUGACAUCCAGGUAAAGCUGCGGAGAAGCGGUGUGCCCUAGGGGGAGCUGAGACAGGGGGUGCAUGGUUGUCGUCAGCUCGUGUCGUGAGAUGUUGGGUUAAGUCCCGCAACGAGCGCAACCCUUGCCGGUAGUUACCAACGGGUAGAGCCGGGGACUUUAGCGGGACCGCCGGGGACAACUGGGAGGAAGGGGGGGAGGACGUCAAAUCAUCAUGCCCCUUAUGACCGGGGCUACACACGUGCUACAAUGGCCGAGACAGAGGGAGCGAAGGCGCGAGGCGGGAGCAAUCCCAAAAAACCGGUCACAGUUCGGAUUGGGGCUGCAACCCGCCCCAUGAAGCGGGAGUUGCUAGUAAUCGCGAAUCAGCAUGUCGCGGUGAAUACGUUCCCGGGUCUUGACACACCGAA